Long non-coding RNA from Gymnogyps californianus (California condor), 1381 nucleotides. RefSeq lists it as uncharacterized. The transcript is spliced from 3 exons. The record is from RefSeq and is a predicted model, not a curated record. NCBI's taxonomy places the organism in Eukaryota, Metazoa, Chordata, Aves, Accipitriformes, Cathartidae.
GCACGAAGACAGCUCUCCGAGACGGGGAUGAGGAUGGCGCCGUCUUAACGCCGCUUCUCUUCACCUUCUCCGCGUUCCUGCUGGGUUUUCCUCGCCAAUUCUUGAGCAAGAAGAGCAGCGGCUGGCACUCGGGAACGGCACCGGCGACUGUCUAAACUCGUUUUGCUGUGUUCAGGUGUAACGGUGUUGGUGCCAGCCUGCCGAGCCGUCCCUCAGCACGGGAUUUUGCCUUAUUGCAAAGUCAGCUCGAUAGCCAUGGUCUGGAGUCUCUCCGGCUCUGGGUGGGAGCUGGCAGCAUCCCACGUCCCUACCUCCAGUAUAGGACCAUGUGGCUGCUGCAGCCUACUUCAAAACGAUGGUAGACUAGCAAGCAGCGGUGAUUUCCCGUGUUUUGGAAUUUUAACGUCAGCACCACUUGUAAUCUGUAGACAGCUGUGGCUAAAGGUGAAAAUGAAAGUUCUCUAUAAAUGAUAAACCAAAAAACUAGGAAUCAGCUAUUAUUAUUUUAAACAGUUGAGAUUUCAGGAGGUAGUUCUGUUGCUCCAUCCGAUACACACGUUUGCCUAAAGAAAACCCUCUUUAUAGUAAUAGGAUUCUGGUUUCCGCCCUCCUUCAAAGCGUGGAAGUUCAUCUGGAGUAGGAAGUAAACCCUUCCGGCCUCCUGAGCAGUAAGAGAUGCAGGGGACCGGCGUGAGAAGAGACAUUGUAUUCAUGAAAAUACUGUAAUUUGCCCAAGAAAUGUCUUUGCUUCCUUAUCCUUGCAUUUCAGUGUGGAAGAAUGUUCCCCUCACCUCUAAGAGCACCACGACCUCGCCCCCGAACACCAUGGUCCCUUCCUCUUGAGUUUUCAUCUGGAGAGUCAAAAGUGUCAUCUGGCCCAAAAUCUUCAGGGCCAGGAAAGCCAUCUCUCCCCCUGGGUCCCCGGCCCUCAUGUCUUGAGGGUCCUCCUCUUCUGAAGCUACAAGAAAGAACAUGGUACAAAUCUGGUUUUUAGGCAGAAUUUAGAUUGAUAAACUUGAGUCAGCUUCAGUUUAAUAAUCAACUCAUUUCUGAACUGUUUUACUUAAUACUAUAGCACAGUUACUAGAAUAGGUUUUUUAGGUGGAAAAGUGCUCAUUUUCUGCCUUUGAGCACUUUGUUUAUUCAUUUUUCUAGUUUUCCCUCAUAUUUCCUUCUGUUGAUUGUGUAGGUUUUUCAUACCAGAAAAAUAUUGUUGAAUAUACUGCAUUCAUUUAAUGAAAAGGGGGAAAAAACCAAUCAGUGAGUGAUGAUAGAUGUAAGGUAAGGUAAGGAAAAGUAUAAGUGAAUUUCCCUUAACUGUGGUGGUCUUACUUUCCCCUUCCCUUUUAGUGAUAAAAACAAACUGAAGAGGUACAAGCAG